Molecule: long non-coding RNA, 595 nt
Organism: Piliocolobus tephrosceles (Ugandan red Colobus)
Lineage: Eukaryota; Metazoa; Chordata; Mammalia; Primates; Cercopithecidae
Exons: 3
Source: RefSeq, a predicted model, not a curated record
GUUACUAAUUUCAGUGCAUCUGACGACUCUACGGUGUACAAAAUAAUAUUAACAGAUUUUUAUAACAAUGUUUGCGAGUCUAAUAUCAUAAACAAAAAGAACUCACGGCAAAUAAAUUUUUCAUAUAAUAACAUAGAACUAGAUCCAGAAACUGCAACGACAGAUAUAGUUGAAAAUUCAUUAAAAAUAGAAUUGUAUGCAAAAGCAAGUAGUGAUAAUGAAAAAAUUAAUGAAGAUAAUGGUAGGGGCAAUAACGAUGACAUAAGUGCUAAAAAUGGUAACGAAAAUGAUAGGGACAGUAAUAAUGGAAAUAAUGAAAAGGAUGAAAAGGAUGAAAAGGAUGAAAAGGAUGAAAAGGAUGAAAAGAAUGAAAAGGAUGAAAAGGAUGAAAAGGAUGAAAAGAAUGCUCAUAAAAAGGGAAACAAAAAAGACGACACUAUUGAUGCACAAUGUAAUGAACAAUGGAAUGACAACUUUAUACAAAUCGGUUCCAAAGAGAUUAAACUGUUUCCAUUUUUACACGACCAAUUAAUAAUUACAAAAAAUGUUGUAAUAUCAUACAAAUACCAAGACAAAAAUCAAGAACAGCAAGAGG